CAUCCAACGCGUUGGGAGCUCUCCCAUAUGGUCGACCUGCAGGCGGCCGCGAAUUCACUAGUGAUUAGAGUUUGAUCCUGGCUCAGAGUGAACGCUGGCGGCAGGCCUAACACAUGCAAGUCGAACGGCAGCACAGCCUCGCAAGAGGUGGGUGGCGAGUGGCGGACGGGUGAGGAAUACAUCGGAAUCUACCUUGUCGUGGGGGAUAACGUAGGGAAACUUACGCUAAUACCGCAUACGAACCAUGGUUGAAAGCGGCGGACCGCAAGGCGUCGCGCGAUUGGAUGAGCCGAUGUCCGAUUAGCUAGUUGGCGGGGUAAGAGCCCACCAAGGCGACGAUCGGUAGCUGGUCUGAGAGGAUGAUCAGCCACACUGGAACUGAGACACGGUCCAGACUCCUACGGGAGGCAGCAGUGGGGAAUAUUGGACAAUGGGCGCAAGCCUGAUCCAGCCAUGCCGCGUGUGUGAAGAAGGCCUUCGGGCUGUAAAGCACUUUGUUGCGGAAGAAAAGCUUCCGGAUAAUACCUCGGAGGUCUG
This 537-nucleotide ribosomal RNA is filed under the name uncultured Gammaproteobacteria bacterium. Its description in RNAcentral is "bacterial SSU rRNA". The stretch from base 60 to 537 matches the Rfam family "Bacterial small subunit ribosomal RNA", at positions 1 to 490 of the family's 1533-position model. Lineage: Bacteria; Pseudomonadati; Pseudomonadota; Gammaproteobacteria. The record is from RNAcentral.